GCAAGCCUCCAUCCCAAUGUAUGGGGUUUGUAGGGAAUCACCCCCCCCAACACACACACACACACACACACACACACACACCCAGGUCAACCCUUUGGGGGUUGGGGAGAGAAACCAAGGCUUUGCGCCUCAGCAACCCCGGCUUUUCCUACAGCAGCGCCGGAGAGCAAAGGCAGAAGCGGGACGGGAAGCCCCACACGGUCGGCAACUUCUUGCCUUCCGUCCGGGAGAGAGAAGCGGGAACUGAACCAGACAGUUUUAGAGAUGCAGAUGACAAGACUCAGUAAUUCCUCUGUAGAACUGGAUCAGCAUCUCCUUGGGCAGGUUGUGUAGAGUUUUGAAAGCCUGCUGAAAUUUGAUGAUCUAAUUCGUCCAACUGUCGGACCACAACGUCAUGUGAAUGCAACCACAAAAACCUCAGGAUCAAAACUUUUUCAACCCUCUUUAAAAUAAAAACAACACCUUAAUCUCCAAGUCCUAACUGUAAAUUGAAACAUGGGUUAUUUCUUGUAAAAGAGGAAGGAAAUUGCCGGAGUAGGAAACGGCGUUGUCAGCUUGACAGAUCCAAAAGUGUCAUGAAAUAACUACGAAAUUUUCACAUAUUUCUUCAGUGAUUCUGAGCACGCUUGUUGCCAAGAAUCGAAACCCCUGCAGCAGCGCUGACAAAUGAAAUUGGCUCAGUCGGUCUACUAUUAGGACAAGGUUCAGUUGAGUUGUAAAAUCCAUAGGAAGCGCAGAGACUAUAAAUUCUGAUGUCUGUCUAGUUUGGUCUACUAGUGAAUGCACCAGGCUACAAAGUGGGAGACCAUGAGUUCAAGUCCCACCUUAGCCAUGAAAGUUGGUUGGCUGACAUUGGG
Molecule: long non-coding RNA, 857 nt
Organism: Ahaetulla prasina
Lineage: Eukaryota; Metazoa; Chordata; Lepidosauria; Squamata; Colubridae
Exons: 3
Source: RefSeq, a predicted model, not a curated record